RNAcentral lists this ribosomal RNA (253 nucleotides) under uncultured bacterium. Its description in RNAcentral is "partial 16S ribosomal RNA". It matches the Rfam family "Bacterial small subunit ribosomal RNA", at positions 524 to 776 of the family's 1533-position model. The record is from RNAcentral.
UACGAGGGGGGCAAAUGUUGUUCGGAAUCACUGGGCGUAAAGGGAGCGUAGGCGGGUUUUUAAGUCAGGUGUUUAAUCCCGGGGCCCAACCCCGGACAGGCACUUGAAACUGGGAAUCUUGAAUAGUGGAGAGGUCAGUGGAAUUGGGGGUGUAGCGGUGGAAUGCGUAGAGAUCCCCAAGAACACCCGUUGCGAAGGCGGCUGACUGGACACAUAUUGACGCUGAGGCUCGAAAGCGUGGGGAGCGAACCGG